AAUACAGCUGUCAGAUAGAACGUCUGCUACAAUGAAGAUCGACAAUGUAACGCAUUAGCACAUUUAAAUGAUAUCUUCACAGAAGAAUUGAAUACCAUAUGGAAAGCUGACAUCAAGCAGCAAUUAGAACGACAAGACAAAACAUGAUGGACCACUAUUAAGUAAAUGAGUACAACAUAUAUUAAUAUGUGAAGAGACUUUUAGCACCAACCUGAACAACAAAACAAACAUGAAUUAUAUAUGUAGAUUUUGAAAUUUAACAAAGACCAAGAUGUGAAGAGACUUUUAGCACCAACCUGAACAACAAAACAAACAUGAAUUAUAUAUGUAGAUUUUGAAAUUUAACAAAGACCAAGAUGUGAAGAGACUUUUAGCACCAACCUGAACAACAAAACAAACAUGAAUUAUAUAUGUAGAUUUUGAAAUUUAACAAAGACCAAGAUGUGAAGAGACUUUUAGCACCAACCUGAACAACAAAACAAACAUGAAUUAUAUAUGUAGAUUUUGAAAUUUAACAAAGACCAAGAUGUGAAGAGACUUUUAGCACCAACCUGAACAACAAAACAAACAUGAAUUAUAUAUGUAGAUUUUGAAAUUUAACAAAGACCAAGAUGUGAAGAGACUUUUAGCACCAACCUGAACAACAAAACAAACAUGAAUUAUAUAUGUAGAUUUUGAAAUUUAACAAAGACCAAGUUGACUUCCGACACCAAAAGGAUGAAUGUAGGCCAAGGUACACCUAUCAAGCAGAGAGAAUGUGAUAGAGAUAUUUGUUUAGUGUGUGGAAAAUUUGCAAAGGAGGCCCGUAGAGUAGAAACCAUCCGAAAGUUAAAAGGGAAAGAUUAUUGUUUAAAAGAUUUAUUGAAGAAAUAUGGUGGAAUUAAUGUUGAAAGUGGGACAGUAUGUAGAAAAUGCAGUAAAAAAGUUGACACUCUUCACAAAAAGAAUACUGAUUUCUACAAUGAAUGCCAAAAAAAUGCUGGAAUGUCGAAACGAAUGGCUUCGUCACCACAUAUUAAUCCACCAAAAAGAAUAAAUAUGUCAACACCCA
Molecule: long non-coding RNA, 1051 nt
Organism: Mytilus californianus (California mussel)
Lineage: Eukaryota; Metazoa; Mollusca; Bivalvia; Mytilida; Mytilidae
Exons: 9
Source: RefSeq, a predicted model, not a curated record